UCGAGGAUCAUUCGCAAUGGGCGCAAGCCUGACGAUGCGACGCUGCGUGGAGGAUGAAGGCCCUCGGGUCGUAAACUCCUGUCAUGAGGGAAAAAGAUGCCUGCGGUAACAUCAAUGGUAUCGGAUUGUACCUCAAGAGGAAGCCACGGCUAACUCUGUGCCAGCAGCCGCGGUAAUACAGAGGUGGCGAGCGUUGUUCGGAUUUACUGGGCGUAAAGGGCGCGUAGGCGGCGGCGUAUGCCGGGUGUGAAAUCCGUGGGCUCAACCCACGAAGUGCGCCCGGAACUGCGUCGCUCGAGGUCGGGAGGGGAGAGCGGAAUGCAGGGUGUAGCGGUGAAAUGCGUUGAUAUCCUGCAGAACACCGGUGGCGAAGGCGGCUCUCUGGAACGAUUCUGACGCUGAGGCGCGAAAGCUGGGGGAGCAAACAGG
Molecule: ribosomal RNA, 429 nt
Filed under: uncultured bacterium
Lineage: Bacteria
Description: bacterial SSU rRNA
Rfam family: Bacterial small subunit ribosomal RNA
Source: RNAcentral